Molecule: ribosomal RNA, 326 nt
Filed under: uncultured eukaryote
Lineage: Eukaryota
Description: partial 18S ribosomal RNA
Rfam family: Eukaryotic small subunit ribosomal RNA
Source: RNAcentral
CCCUUAGAUGUCCUGGGCCGCACGCGCGCUACACUGGCACAUGCAACGAGUAUAUCACCUUGGUCGAGAGGCCUGGGUAAUCUGCGAACGUGUGCCGUGAUUGGGAUAGAUUCUUGCAAUUUUUAAUCUUGAACGAGGAAUUCCUAGUAAACGCGAGUCAUCAACUCGCAUUGAUUACGUCCCUGCCCUUUGUACACACCGCCCGUCGCACCUACCGAUUGGAUGUUUCGAUGAAGCCCUCGGACCGUCGCGCGUCUCCUUCACUGGCGACGCGUGGUGGGAAGUUGUCUAAAUCUCAACAUCUAGAGGAAGGUGAANUCGUANCA